RNAcentral lists this ribosomal RNA (465 nucleotides) under uncultured bacterium. Its description in RNAcentral is "partial 16S ribosomal RNA". It matches the Rfam family "Bacterial small subunit ribosomal RNA", at positions 28 to 507 of the family's 1533-position model. The record is from RNAcentral.
GAUGAACGCUGGCGGCGUGCUUAACACAUGCAAGUCGAACGGAAAGGCUCCUGCUUGCAGGGGUACUCGAGUGGCGAACGGGUGAGUAACACGUGGGUGAUCUGCCCUGCACUUCGGGAUAAGCCUGGGAAACUAGGUCUAAUACCGGAUAGGACGAUGGUUUGGAUGCCAUUGUGGAAAGUUUUUCGGUGUGGGAUGAGCUCGCGGCCUAUCAGCUUGUUGGUGGGGUAAUGGCCUACCAAGGCGUCGACGGGUAGCCGGCCUGAGAGGGUGUACGGCCACAUUGGGACUGAGAUACGGCCCAGACUCCUACGGGAGGCAGCAGUGGGGAAUAUUGCACAAUGGGCGCAAGCCUGAUGCAGCGACGCCGCGUGGGGGAUGACGGCCUUCGGGUUGUAAACUUCUUUCGCUAGGGACGAAGCGCAAGUGACGGUACCUGGAGAAGAAGCACCGGCUAACUACGUG